This 446-nucleotide ribosomal RNA is filed under the name uncultured bacterium. RNAcentral describes it as "bacterial SSU rRNA". It matches the Rfam family "Bacterial small subunit ribosomal RNA", at positions 329 to 792 of the family's 1533-position model. The record is from RNAcentral.
UGCCAGACUCCUACGGGAGGCAGCAGUGGGGAAUAUUGCACGAUGGGGGAAACCCUGAUGCAGCGACGCCGCGUGAGCGAUGAAGUAUUUCGGUAUGUAAAGCUCUAUCAGCAGGGAAGAAAAUGACGGUACCUGACUAAGAAGCCCCGGCUAACUACGUGCCAGCAGCCGCGGUAAUACGUAGGGGGCAAGCGUUAUCCGGAUUUACUGGGUGUAAAGGGAGCGUAGACGGCUGUGCAAGCCAGAUGUGAAAGCCCGGGGCUCAACCCCGGGACUGCAUUUGGAACUGUGUGGCUGGAGUGUCGGAGAGGCAGGCGGAAUUCCUAGUGUAGCGGUGAAAUGCGUAGAUAUUAGGAGGAACACCAGUGGCGAAGGCGGCCUGCUGGACGAUGACUGACGUUGAGGCUCGAAAGCAUGGGUAGCGAACAGGAUUAGAUACCCGUGUA